GAUGAACGCUGGCGGCGUGCCUAAUACAUGCAAGUCGAGCGAACAGACGAGGAGCUUGCUCCUCUGACGUUAGCGGCGGACGGGUGAGUAACACGUGGAUAACCUACCUAUAAGACUGGGAUAACUUCGGGAAACCGGAGCUAAUACCGGAUAAUAUAUUGAACCGCAUGGUUCAAUAGUGAAAGACGGUUUUGCUGUCACUUAUAGAUGGAUCCGCGCCGCAUUAGCUAGUUGGUAAGGUAGCGGCUUACCAAGGCAACGAUGCGUAGCCGACCUGAGAGCGUGAUCGGCCACACUGGAACUGAGACACGGUCCAGACUCCUACGGGAGGCAGCAGUAGGGAAUCUUCCGCAAUGGGCGAAAGCCUGACGGAGCAACGCCGCGUGAGUGAUGAAGGUCUUCGGAUCGUAAAACUCUGUUAUUAGGGAAGAACAAAUGUGUAAGUAACUAUGCACGUCUUGACGGUACCUAAUCAGAAAGCCACGGCUAACUGCGUG
This 497-nucleotide ribosomal RNA is filed under the name uncultured bacterium. RNAcentral's name for it is "partial 16S ribosomal RNA". It matches the Rfam family "Bacterial small subunit ribosomal RNA", at positions 28 to 507 of the family's 1533-position model. The record is from RNAcentral.